GACGAACGCUGGCGGCGUGCCUAACACAUGCAAGUCGAACGAGACCUUCCGGCUUCGUCGCGCACCGGUGCGUGCACCCUGGUACCCUGCCCUUUGGUUCGGAGUAUCUCCCCGCCAGGGGUCCUAAUACCCCUUAUUCUCUUCCCACCUAAGAUCUCGCGCCGUUGAGUGGGCGCGCGUUGGAUUAGCUCGUUGGUAGGGUAAAAGCCUGCCAACGCGACGAUCCCGAGCUGGUCGGAGAGGAUGACUAGCCCGACUGGGACUGAGGCACGGCCCAGACUCCGACGGGAGGCAGCAGUAGGGAAUAUUGGACAAGGGGCGAAAGCGUGAUCCAGCAAUGCCGCGGGAGUGAUGAAGGCCUUAGGGUUGGAAAGCUCCUUGACCCGGGAUGAUAAUGACAGUACCGGGAGAAUAAGCACCGGCUAACUACGUG
RNAcentral lists this ribosomal RNA (433 nucleotides) under uncultured bacterium. Its description in RNAcentral is "partial 16S ribosomal RNA". It matches the Rfam family "Bacterial small subunit ribosomal RNA", at positions 28 to 507 of the family's 1533-position model. The record is from RNAcentral.